GGGGAAUUUAAUUUUUUGGUGGUUUUUGUGCAUGGCUCUGAUGGUGCACUCGUGUUCACCAGGUCCCCAAAGAGAAGGAACAGCCCCACACGGAGCUGCCGGCGCUCCCCAGCACCAGGAGAUGCUGCUGGCUGCCAGCUCUGCUGCUUGGGGGCAAUUAAUCUUUAAUUGUGCCUUUGGACUGGGAAAGGGAACAGGAAUUUCCUCUGCUGGAGCUUCUCCUCUGCGGUGACACGGCCUCAAAGCUCCGUGGCGGCUCCCAGGGCUUCCUGUGGCAGAAUCCAGCAGGAAAAUCCCUUUGUUCCCCUCCUGCUUCCUCUCCCGUCGCUCCAGGGCAUCCUGAGCAGCAGAUCUGGAGGAUAGAGCUGGAGCCUGGCUGGGCUGCAGAGGUGCCAGCACCAUCUGUGCCUCAGUUUCCCUUCCCAGGAUCCUUGAGCAGCACCCAGGGCUCUUCUCUUUCAGGGAAGGAGGAAUUGCAUUCAGCUUCCAAGGAACAAAAAAUCCCCAAAACUCUUCUUCCUGCCCUCUCCAAGGCAGGGAAUUCCAGCACAUCCUCUGCCCCAACACCCUGUCCUGAUUUUCCUCCAGGAGCUGUGCUGCACGGGGGUGUUGGGCUGAGAUGCAGCAGUGUCCAGGCACUCCAGGGUGACCAGGGGAGCAUUUCCAGCAGAGAUUGGGACAUUGGCUGGGUCAGCGUGUCCCCUUCUGCUGCAGGAACAGCUGGGGCAAGGAGGAGAACGGGGAGCGUUGUUCUGAUCCCGCCCCGGGGCUUCCCCAGCCUGCCCUGCGCUUUUCACUCCAUCCUCAACCCCAAUCCCCUCGGCACAGGCAGCUCGGCUCUGGGGCUCAUGCUCAGGAAUCCAGAGCGAGUCAAACCCUCUGGAAUUUGGCACUUGCAACUCCCGAGGCGUUUUGGCAGAAUCUCAAACCCAGCGCCCUCCGCCGUGGGGGGCACUUGCAGAUGAGGAAGCAAACCACAGGUGGAGAUUGUGGAGUGAAGGAUUCAGGAACACAAAGCUGAGAGCAGCCCCGAAGUCCUGGGGCAAAGAAGGGCUUUGUGCCCUUCCCCCUGUCGGCUCCUGCCGCUCUCACUAAUUCCUCCGCGGCUGCCAAACCCAAACCACAGCAGCGCUGUCCCCUCCUACACAGCCCAGCAGCGGUUUCGGG
Molecule: long non-coding RNA, 1167 nt
Filed under: Chloebia gouldiae (Gouldian finch)
Lineage: Eukaryota; Metazoa; Chordata; Aves; Passeriformes; Passeridae
Description: Erythrura gouldiae (Gouldian finch) lncRNA (ENSEGOG00005018596.1)
Source: RNAcentral